GCCGGGGUCGCCUAGUGGCUAGGGCGAUGGCCUCGAGAGCCAUUGGUCAUUAUGACCGCGUGGGUUCAAAUCCCACCCCCGGCG
RNAcentral lists this transfer RNA (84 nucleotides) under Candidatus Bathyarchaeota archaeon. RNAcentral's name for it is "tRNA-Ser". It matches the Rfam family "tRNA". Rfam says of the family: Transfer RNA (tRNA) molecules are approximately 80 nucleotides in length. The record is from RNAcentral. RNAcentral also lists the same sequence under 1 other name. Lineage: Archaea; Thermoproteati; Candidatus Bathyarchaeota.